CCUACGGGAGGCAGCAGUGGGGGAUAUUGCACAAUGGGGGAAACCCUGAUGCAGCGACGCCGCGUGGGCGAAGAAGUAUUUCGGUAUGUAAAGCCCUAUCAGCAGGGAAGAAGAAAUGACGGUACCUGAGUAAGAAGCACCGGCUAAAUACGUGCCAGCAGCCGCGGUAAUACGUAUGGUGCAAGCGUUAUCCGGAUGUACUGGGUGUAAAGGGAGCGCAGGCGGCACGGCAAGCCUGAUGUGAAAGCCAUGGGCCCAACCGGGGGACUGCAUUGGGAACUACCGGGCUGGAGUGUCGGAGAGGUAGGUGGAAUGCCAGGUGUAGCGGUGAAAUGCGUAGAGAUUAGGAGGAACACCAGUGGCGAAGGCGGCCUACUGGACAAAGACUGACGCUGAGGCUCGAAAGCGUGGGGAGCAAACAGGAUUAGAUACCCGGGUAGUC
Molecule: ribosomal RNA, 442 nt
Filed under: uncultured bacterium
Lineage: Bacteria
Description: partial 16S ribosomal RNA
Rfam family: Bacterial small subunit ribosomal RNA
Source: RNAcentral